RNAcentral lists this ribosomal RNA (585 nucleotides) under uncultured bacterium. RNAcentral's name for it is "bacterial SSU rRNA". It matches the Rfam family "Bacterial small subunit ribosomal RNA", at positions 338 to 916 of the family's 1533-position model. The record is from RNAcentral.
CCUACGGGAGGCAGCAGUGGGGAAUUUUGGACAAUGGGCGCAAGCCUGAUCCAGCAAUGCCGCGUGAGUGAAGAAGGCCUUCGGGUUGUAAAGCUCUUUUGUCAGGGAAGAAACGGCUGAGGUUAAUACCUUCGGCUAAUGACGGUACCUGAAGAAUAAGCACCGGCUAACUACGUGCCAGCAGCCGCGGUAAUACGUAGGGUGCAAGCGUUAAUCGGAAUUACUGGGCGUAAAGCGUGCGCAGGCGGUUUUGUAAGUCUGACGUGAAAUCCCCGGGCUCAACCUGGGAAUUGCGUUGGAGACUGCAAGGCUGGAGUCUGGCAGAGGGGGGUAGAAUUCCACGUGUAGCAGUGAAAUGCGUAGAGAUGUGGAGGAACACCGAUGGCGAAGGCAGCCCCCUGGGUCAAGACUGACGCUCAUGCACGAAAGCGUGGGGAGCAAACAGGAUUAGAUACCCUGGUAGUCCACGCCCUAAACGAUGUCUACUAGUUGUCGGGUCUUAAUUGACUUGGUAACGCAGCUAACGCGUGAAGUAGACCGCCUGGGGAUACGGUCGCAAGAUUAAAACUCAAAUGAAAUUGACGG